This is a long non-coding RNA of Cotesia glomerata, 135 nucleotides long. RefSeq lists it as uncharacterized. The record is from RefSeq and is a predicted model, not a curated record. NCBI's taxonomy places the organism in Eukaryota, Metazoa, Arthropoda, Insecta, Hymenoptera, Braconidae. The transcript has 3 exons.
GAAUAUAUUAAUAAUUUUUUCAAACAUCUUCGAAAACGUUAAAUUGCUGAAAAAAAAUUUCUUAAAAAAAUUUGCGGGGCUUUCCUCAUCGCUUGACCAGAGUCGUAAGUAGUUUUUUUAACGCUAUAAAGUUUA